UAGAGUUUGAUCCAUGGCUCAGGACGAACGCUGGCGGCGUGCCCUAAUACAUGCAAGUCGAGCGGAGUUUAUCCUUCGGGAUAAGCUUAGCGGCGGACGGGUGAGUAACACGUAGGCAACCUGCCCCUUAGCCUGGGAUAACUACCGGAAACGGUAGCUAAUACCGGAUAAUCCCUUUCCUCGCCUGAGGGAAGGAUAAAAGGCGGAGCAAUCUGCUGAUAAGGGAUGGGCCUGCGGCGCAUUAGCUAGUUGGUGAGGUAACGGCUCACCAAGGCGACGAUGCGUAGCCGACCUGAGAGGGUGAACGGCCACACUGGGACUGAGACACGGCCCAGACUCCUACGGGAGGCAGCAGUAGGGAAUCUUCCGCAAUGGGCGAAAGCCUGACGGAGCAACGCCGCGUGAGUGAUGAAGGUUUUCGGAUCGUAAAGCUCUGUUGCCAGGGAAGAACGUCCGGUAGAGUAACUGCUACCGGAG
This 477-nucleotide ribosomal RNA is filed under the name Paenibacillus sp. HCS-7128. RNAcentral's name for it is "bacterial SSU rRNA". It matches the Rfam family "Bacterial small subunit ribosomal RNA", at positions 1 to 469 of the family's 1533-position model. The record is from RNAcentral. Lineage: Bacteria; Bacillati; Bacillota; Bacilli; Caryophanales; Paenibacillaceae.